Vicugna pacos (alpaca) is the source of this 159-nucleotide non-coding RNA. The record is from Rfam. NCBI's taxonomy places the organism in Eukaryota, Metazoa, Chordata, Mammalia, Artiodactyla, Camelidae.
CGCGAGAGAGGCUGGCUCCCCCCAGUUGCGCGCCCCACCCAGGACGCGCGAGGCUGCCACUGCGGCUGCGCGAACUCGGCGCGCGCUCGCCCGUGCCCUGCGCGGGCUCCUCCCUCCAGUCAAGUUGUCUCGCGGCGUCUGAGCAGCCUGCGCUCUGUG